UAAGUAAGCGGAGGACAAGAAACUAAACAGGAUUCCCUCAGUAAUGGCGAAUGAACAGGGAUGAGCUCAACAUGGAAAUCGUGGCUUCUGGCUAUGAAUUGUAAUUUCAAGAUGUAUCGCCAACGAGGGCGUAGGUGUAAGCCUCUUGGAAAAGAGCAUCAUGGAGGGUGAGAAUCCCGUUUGUCACCUACUGCCCCUCGUGUUUGGCAUACGAUCUUAGAGUCACGUUCCUCGGGAUUGGAGCGCAAAAUGGGUGGUAAAUUUCAUCUCAAGCUAAAUAUGGGUUCGAACCCGAUAGCAAACAAGUACCAUGAGGGAAAGAUGAAAAGGACUUUGAAAAGAGAGUUAAGAGUGCCUGAACUUGCUGAAAGGAAAGCGGAUGGAACUACUUUCUCUUUGGCGAGAUUGUUUCGUGCUCCAGUGACUGUUCGCCGAGCGAGCGCAAGCAGCUCAGCGGAUCUCGACCUGGUCGUGCGGAAUGGUUCUUGCCUCGUCCGUCACUGACUGUGUGGGGGCGGGGAGACCUCUAGGGACAUGGUAGCGCACCUUCGGGGACGCGAACGUGCCUAGCAGUGCUUGCUCGCGUACGGUACCUUCUGCCUCAGAUUGAGCUGCUCUCCUGCGCAAGCGCGCUUGCGCGCGUGCAGCUGCGCGAGGCACCAUUCUGAUGCUUCAUUAGUGGCGAAAUGGUUCCAUUCGACCCGUCUUGAAACACGGACCAAGGAGUCUAACAUAUGUGCGAGUUCUUGGGUACCAAACCUACGUGCGCAAUGAAAGUGAGUACUGAGAUGUUAGCAUCAGCAGCCGACCGAUCGAUUGGGAGAGGUUUGAGCAUGAGCAUAUCUGUUAGGACCCGAAAGAUGGUGAACUAUGCCUGAGAAGGGCAAAGUCUGGGGAAACUCAGAUGGAGGCUCGUAGCGGUACUGACGUGCAAAUCGUUCGUCAUACUUGGGUAUAGGGGCGAAAGACUAAUCGAACCAUC
Molecule: ribosomal RNA, 982 nt
Filed under: Nusuttodinium myriopyrenoides
Lineage: Eukaryota; Dinophyceae; Gymnodiniales; Gymnodiniaceae
Description: eukaryotic LSU rRNA
Rfam family: Eukaryotic large subunit ribosomal RNA
Source: RNAcentral